RNAcentral lists this ribosomal RNA (407 nucleotides) under uncultured bacterium. RNAcentral describes it as "bacterial SSU rRNA". It matches the Rfam family "Bacterial small subunit ribosomal RNA", at positions 32 to 432 of the family's 1533-position model. The record is from RNAcentral.
AAUCAACGCUGGCGGCGUGCCUCAGACAUGCAAGUCGAACGAUUAAACUUUCCUUCGGGGAAGAUAUAGAGUGGCGCACGGGUGAGUAACACGUAAGUAAUCUACCCUUGGGUGGGGAAUAACAUCGGGAAACCGAUGCUAAUACCGCAUAAUGCAGCGGCUUCUUAUGAAGACAGUUGUUAAAGCAUUUAUGUGCCUGAGGAGGAGCUUGCGGCAGAUUAGCAGUUGGUAGGUAAUGGCUUACCAAGCGACGAUCUGUAGCCGACCUGAGAGGGUGGUCGGUCACACUGACACUGAAUAACGGGUCAGACUCCUACGGGAGGCAGCAGUCGGGAAUUUUGGGCAAUGGGCGCAAGCCUGACCCAGCAACGCCGCGUGAAGGAUGAAGUAUUUCGGUAUGUAAACUU